GACAGAGGGUGCAAACGUUGUUCGGAAUUACUGGGCGUAAAGCGCGUGUAGGCUGCUCUACAAGUCGGAUGUGAAAGCCCUGGGCUCAACCUAGGAAGUGCAUUCGAAACUGUAAAGCUGGAGUCCUGGAGAGGAAGGCGGAAUUCUCGGUGUAGAGGUGAAAUUCGUAGAUAUCGAGAGGAACACCGGUGGCGAAGGCGGCCUUCUGGACAGUGAAUGACGCUGAGACGCGAAAGCGUGGGGAGCAAACAGG
This 253-nucleotide ribosomal RNA is filed under the name uncultured bacterium. RNAcentral describes it as "partial 16S ribosomal RNA". It matches the Rfam family "Bacterial small subunit ribosomal RNA", at positions 524 to 776 of the family's 1533-position model. The record is from RNAcentral.